Molecule: small RNA, 556 nt
Filed under: Pan troglodytes (chimpanzee)
Lineage: Eukaryota; Metazoa; Chordata; Mammalia; Primates; Hominidae
Description: retained intron
Source: RNAcentral
AUUCGCAGUUGACAUCACUUGUUAGAAGAGCAACUCUGAAAGAAAACGAGCAAAUUCCAAAAUAUGAAAAGAUUCACAAUUUCAAGGUGCAUACAUUCAGAGGGCCACACUGGUGUGAAUACUGUGCCAACUUUAUGUGGGGUCUCAUUGCUCAGGGAGUGAAAUGUGCAGAUUGUGGUUUGAAUGUUCAUAAGCAGUGUUCCAAGAUGGUCCCAAAUGACUGUAAGCCAGACUUGAAGCAUGUCAAAAAGGUGUACAGCUGUGACCUUACGACGCUCGUGAAAGCACAUACCACUAAGCGGCCAAUGGUGGUAGACAUGUGCAUCAGGGAGAUUGAGUCUAGAGGUGAGCCAUUUGCAGUGCGGGUUGCAGUGGUCUCCGUUCACUACCAGUACCAGUCCUGAUGCCUUUUGGUUACCUCAUUGCACAAUACGGUUGUCUUCUGUAAUUUGGAGGGGAAUGGUUUCAUAUGUCAAAUGAUCUCAAAGACUGAAAUGAAUUAAUUUAACAAUUAAAUAGCUUGAUUUCAAGGUACAUUUAACUAAGUGUAGCCAAU